UAAAGCUGAAAGGUUCUCAAUUCAAUGAUUUGAAAUCAGGGGUUUCUUAAAAAGACUGGUUCAAUAUGGCUCUGGAGUUGUUAUAUCUAAGGAUAUAUUAUGAAAAGCAUGCAGCACUCUCACAAACCAUCAUUUUCAAAAUACAACUAUAAACAGCAAAUCUUAACAACUAUAUGAAGUCUAUAUUAUGGAUCGAGGUAUACACCACUGGAAUUUAGAAAGCCAGUGUGAGCAGCUCUCAACCUGACAUCAUCCCAUUAUGAAUUGGCACCCAAUUUUUGGCCAAGGAUACGCUGGGCAAAACAACCUUGAGGAUGGAUAUGAUGCAUUUGUAUUUGUUAAGCAAGACGCUGCUAGGACUUUCUUCAUUUACAAUGCUUCCAAACUAAUCGCAAGUAAUACAUUACAUCUCACCCACAUUCAGUAUCAUCAUCAUCAUCACUUACAGAAGGAGGGUAGCAACAACAAGAGAGCGGUUGGCUGUCAAAGGGGGUACUUAUACAAAAGAUGAUAGAAGAGUGGUGAUGAAAGCGGUGACGACUUGGACAUCAAGGUUAGGGAUGAUGGCUGAAGAGUAAUGAUCACGGUAGGAACAUUGAACAACGCAAGGUUAUCAGAAGCUAUAUACAAGCUGAAGAUGGUGGAGGGGAGUGGGGAGAGAGUGGCUGCACUCCUUACAUGAAAUUAAAUAGGGACAACAAGAGAAAACAAAAUUAGAUAUUUCAACAUGUUUAUUGAACCAACUAUAUUGCUGACGAUCCUACCUAGUGCUCAUACAUACAAUCAAACUGGCUGAUAAACCAACUAUAUUGCUGACGAUCCUACCUAGUGCUCAUACAUACAAUCAAACUGGCUGAUCAUCAUAUGAAAAGAUGUCUCGACAUCAAGUCUUGCAAAUCAUGGAGACGAAGAAUCGUGUUACACAUCAAACAUUGCAAUCAGAGCGGACAGCAGAACAAAC
This 961-nucleotide long non-coding RNA is filed under the name Elaeis guineensis (African oil palm). Its description in RNAcentral is "long non-coding RNA (EGUI_LNC008880)". Lineage: Eukaryota; Viridiplantae; Streptophyta; Magnoliopsida; Arecales; Arecaceae. The record is from RNAcentral.